UUAUAAAAUUUUGUCCGGAAAAAAGAGAAAAUUGACCGGGAAUUUAUAAUCAUAAAAAUUAUCGCUAGUUUAUAAUAUCUAUCUAUCUAAUCAAAUAUAAACGUACGUGACAAUUGGUUCAUUUAAAUGUAACUUUUGAAGGUGAACAACACCGUCAUUAUAAUAGUCUCACGCUUAUCGAAACAUCAUCACGUAUUUUAUUUCCAUUUGUCUCUUUUUUUUUUUUUUUUUUAUUUUAUUUUAUUGAAAAAUUAUAUUAAAUCAACAAAUUAAAAAAAUUAUUCUAAAUUACAGAAAUUAAAUCCCGCUGAUUCAAAAAAAAAUUUAUUAAUACUAUGGACUAAUUACCUGAUCAUCAGACAGCAAACCAUUUCUAUAUAAUACAAGACUUGCCGCCAAAAUACUGGAUGACUGAUCAUUGGACAAUUAAUAAAGUUAAUUAAUACCUGACUCCAGAGACCUUGGCCAUUAUUAUUAUUAUUAUGGAAGAAAGCAGCCAGCAGGUCGUGACACAGCAUGGGAUAGGCGUACAUUAACGCCACCCUAAACAUGAUAUCCCGCAAUUCCGCGCUCAUCGUAAAUUCAAUUCAUCCAUUCAUCCCUAUUCAGGAAGCUUGGUGACAUAAGUUCCUGCCUGAUCAAAAAGAAGAAAAAGGUUCACCACUUUUUGAAUGAAUAUAGUUUUCAAAAAUGAAACAUGAAAUCAAGAAUCAAGAAGAUGAAAUCAAGAAACAUGAAAAUAGCUUCUUUUGUAGAUCAAAAAUGGCAUAUGAUGAUAGUUUACGAGCGUUAAUUGUACGAGGGCUUAGGUGGCAAGCCAUUACCGUUAAUCUGUUAACUCGGGUCAAUAGGCUGCUGCUGCUGCUGCUACACACGAUAUUCCUUACAUGCACCUAUGACAAUACAAAUUAUGCCACCUGACAGACUAUGCACACAUAAACGAACAACAACCAAAGAAGAGCUUAAAGUGCAUUUUGAGGUUGUUUACUAUAGACCCUUCAAGUCAUGUGAUUCACACUAAAGUUAUUUCAAUCCUGAUUUUGAAUUUUUUCGCUUUGGUAAAUCGAGACAUCGACGAGAUAAGACAUCAAUCUGAAUUUUUUUUUUUUUUUCCUAUAAAAAUAAAAAUAAUAUCAAUAGAUUUUCAGAAGAAAAUACAAAAAAAAGAAACCUUACCUCUAAACAUGCUUUACAACUAUAAAAGAAAAAAAUAAAAAAAAAAAUUUAUUUAUUUUAUUUUAUUUUAUUUAUA
Molecule: long non-coding RNA, 1252 nt
Organism: Leptopilina boulardi
Lineage: Eukaryota; Metazoa; Arthropoda; Insecta; Hymenoptera; Figitidae
Exons: 5
Source: RefSeq, a predicted model, not a curated record